Molecule: long non-coding RNA, 1053 nt
Organism: Lathyrus oleraceus (garden pea)
Lineage: Eukaryota; Viridiplantae; Streptophyta; Magnoliopsida; Fabales; Fabaceae
Exons: 2
Source: RefSeq, a predicted model, not a curated record
UUCAUUUAUUGGCCGAUGUCAGGUCUUACGUCUAAAUAUUGGACGACUUAGUCUUCUUUCAAUAUUUGGCAGCUGUCUUAUGGGGCGGUGCCAAAGAAACAAAAGAAGCAAUUUACAUAGACGCGCUUGCUAGUAGAAGCUACUACAAAAGAGGAUAAUCAAGUUAUCUUUGAUGAAAUGUUACAAUAUGAUGCUCCAGAUGAAGAGGAUGCACAUGGUUGCCCCUUGCAUGCGUUCGUUACUUUCGUUCUGGCUACUGGAGGAAUUUUGGUUAUCGGGUCUCUUGCUGGUCUAGCUACACAUAACCUUUCUAUCUCGGCAUAGGUGGAAGUCUAGAAUUCUCCUUACUGAAUUGUGGUUGGAGAUUCACCGGAAUGUAGUUUUUUUUAUAUAUUUGGGUGCCUUUAUACAAGGUAACUUUGCUUCAGAGUAUAUAUCUUACUUCAUUUAAAACAUAUAUGUUAUUUAAAAAGUAUUUAAUUUUUCUUUUAAGAUACAAUUUCUUUUUAUGUUUUCCAAAACAUUUCUCUUAGAACAUGUGUUAAGUUGAUUAGCAAUCUUUGUGAGAAUAUUUGUGAAGUUGACAAUUGGUCUAUACUAUUUUUAUAGUGGUUAUUGGUGACUUGUGGAAACAACAGAAUGUUCAAAUGGAAGACUGCCUAGUGCUUUUAUGAAUUUUUAUGAUAAUGCAUACUACUUAUGCAUUGACAAACCUGAGAGAUGCUGUUUUUUCAGCGUCCUUGAGACUUAUCCCUUUUCUUCAAACAACAGAAGAAAUUAAAAGGAAUUUUGGAGGAAAUAUUUUCUCACUUGUAUCAUUCAACCACUAGAGAGUGGUGAUACUUAAUAAUAUGGCUUCUGAACUCACACUAUCCGGCAAGGACAUUGUGUCAUUAGUCGAGUCGAAUCUUUGAAUCUGUGGUUGAGUUGCACGAUUUCGCUCAUUUAGUCCAUCCAUAUAAGAAAAUUCUACAUGUAUUAUAAAACAGAUCGAACCUCUGUACUAAAACAGAACCAUAUGACUCGGACUCGAAAAAUUCAAUAAAAUCAUCA